GCUCCCAGCUUCCUACUUGCCCCAGCAGCACGGAGCUUUCCUGUAACACACAUUUCCCCUAUCCUCUGACAUUCCUCUAAAUUAUUGAUCUGGGCAAUUUGGUGCAAGCGUCUGUAGCAUGUUUCAGAGAGAGAAGACUGAAAGUUGUCUAGCUUGGAGAAGCAAUAUUUUUAGUACAGAGGCUCAGUUUGUUGCCAGUUGGUUUAUGCCGUUUCUAGAGCAUCAUUCGCUAUGCACUUAAUCCAUGCUCAUCAUACCUCCUUAAUGUAAAUAUGUUUUUGGCAGAGGCAAAAUGAAAACAUUUUGCCCUCCAUAUUAUUCUUAUUAGCACCUACCUUUCCUCAAAGCUGAUCACCCUGCAAAAUGGCAAAUUUGUACACAGCCAGUGAUUUAGAUAAGUUAGAAGGGAAAUGAGAGAGGUAAGAUUGAAGGAUGUGUGUGUGUCUGGGGAGAGUGCUUUUUCUACAUCUGUGAAGGUUUUUUCCUCUCUCAGGAAAGGGAACCAAUUGUGGUUUCCUAAUUUCAAGUCAAUCUAUAUCUUCAACCUUCUCUUUGUGUGUGUGUGUGUGUGUGUGUGUUUUACCUAAUUACUUUAAAAAAAAAGAUAAUGCAAUGGGCAUUAUUAGGCCAGCAGAAAUGAAUUCACAAGGAAGGGGCCAGGAAUUUUUUCUCUCAUUUUAUCUGACCCAGAACCACCAAGACACAGGCCAGAGCUGACUUUUGCCCCAGGCACUUUUGACCACCCAGCACCUUUCUUUCUUCAACAUCCUCUUUCUAGAUUUUCAGUCGAGACAGGUAAGGGUAUAAGUGGCCUCUCAGAGGUUUGUAUCAAAAUUUUACUUGUAGGGUAGAGGGACUAAGUGACAGAAUACUUUAAGAGGGUGGAGGAGAAAUUUAACAGUCCUCUCAUGCAGACGGAGGGUGACAUUCAAAUGGGAGAAUUUACUUCUGUGGUUUGCUACUGUUUCAUUCUUUCCCUUAUCAUUGGUAGUGUUGUUAGGUGGCAGGGUUGUGGGGCAGAGUGGGGUUUCGCCCUGGGGGAGCAUAUGUGGCAGAGGGCACAGGAAGAUCUGUAAGCAAGAGGGCAUAGCAAAUUAAAUGACCACACUGUCAGGAAGGUUGACAGGCCAAAGAAAGAUCAGCUCCUCCAAAUCUGCUGAACUAACUCUCCCCUCGUAGCCCCAGACACGUUUUCUCAAUUUGAGCACAAUAUCCAUUACUAUUUCCCGUACUGGGUUUCAAUUAAAGAGAGUGAGAGUAGAAAGUUCACUGGUGUUUGGGGGUUCAUUUAUUUCCAAGCAGGAUGCAAAUGAAAGGGAGCCGUGGGCACAGAGUUGUCAUGUGUGUUUUUCCUCCCUCUUCUUUCCAUUUCCUUCUUGCAACCUUCCCUCCACUUCUUGCCAGCCACCCAGCACACCCGUGUUCCCAAAGCAAAUGUUUUCAUGUCUUGAAAAUCCAGUUAGGGUGAGGAGAGAAGGAAGGUGAUAACAUCAUACCUACUGAUGCCCCCUAGAGAUGAAGCUGUCCUGGGGGCACUUAAGGCUUGAGGGAAGGAUUUACCUUCUCGAGAUGGGCACAGGAAUUGGGGUAGUGUGAGCACUUGAAGGGUUCCAGGUUUUACUGUUGCACUGAAAACAGAUGCAAUCCCUCCUGCUGUAACAUGCCCCUAUGGAAAAAAUCUAGCCUUCUGUGCAGUUAUCCUGUUUUGGUCCUAGAACACAGGGUGGUGAUCUUGCUUCUCUGGGGGGUGCCAGGCAAAUAGAAGACGUGAAAAUCUGCUGCCAAGGUCAGGAUGUAGGUCCUGGAUUCAGGAUCUUGACCCCAGGCCUGCCCUGUCACCGAGCAGUGGUCUCACAACCAGGCAAACUCUCUGGCCAAACUCACUUCACACAAACUUGAGCUGAGCACCAGCCCUCCAACCCCCUCCACCUUCUAUGAUCACUGACUUUGUACCAUGGCCACACAGACCACUGGGCAGAAGAGUAGCUGCAGGGUGUCGGUCUUAAUUUCAUGACACUCUGCGUAGCCUCCUCCUCCUUCCACGUCAGCAAAAGAAACUAGAGGCCUCAACAAUGUGACUGUAUUUUGAGUUGGGAUGUGUCCCUCCCAAAUCAAUCAUCCCGGCUCCAAAUAAUACAAACAAAUUCUACAUAUUUUAAAAUGUCCCAAGUCUUGUAUGAUAUCCAGGGACCGAUUAGUGCCGACUGGAGAGACUAUUCCCUCUCCCAUUCCGAAUAAAGGGUUAGGUGAAGGUUGUGGCCCGAGAGAUCCCAGAAGCCCUUAAAAGUCUUUAGCUUGGGGUUUGAAUAAUGAGGGCUAGAUAAGUUUGUUUUCUCUUCCUUUCAAAAAUUUUUUUAUUUUAGAGGAAGGGGAAUGAGGAAGGCGCACGCGCGCGCUCACACACACACACACACACACACACACACGCAGAAAGAGAGAAAAUGUUUGGAAUUGUGAAAGUGCCUUUCCUAGUAGUUGCUUUUACUGGCGCCCGGGCCUCAAUUCAUUUCAUCUCUGAACCAGAUACUAAAAAUCCUCCAGGCGAGUGGAGAGGACCGGCCUUCCUGGAUCGGGAACCUGCCCUCUGUCUUCCCUCGCAGCGCCCUUUCCUCCUUUCGCUUGGGAAAGGAAGAUUUCGAGCCCCAGGAAGGAGUUGGGAGUGAGCGACAGCCCAGAGCGUCCCAUAAGGUCCUUUUGGCCAUGUUUCUGCCCCGGGGGGCUUCACCUAGAUCCCCCACCCCACCCCUUACCCCUGUUGCAAAUACGUAAGCUGGACGCGCCUCGGUGCGGAUCCAGGCCUCGCUGAGCACGGAACCGGAGAAGCAGCUCACGGCCUCGGAUUCUACUCUCACCCAAGGGUGGAAGGGGGUGACAGGGCUCGGAUCUUGCCCCAAACGCUGCACAGGCCCGCAGGAGAGCAAAGAGGUCUCGGACAGGCUGUCCUUCCCCAGCUCUCGGUCGCGACAAGGUCCCGACAGGCCCGGGAACCGGCGAACCGCCUGCAGCUGCUAUCGACAACACUUACAGCCUCCAGAAAUGACCCUUGGUGCCGACUUGUCUGGAAGCCAUCAGGGUUAGUUUUGAAGCAGGAAUCUUCAAGUGGACCAGAGGGUUGUCUUCUGCUCCUGAUCUGGUUGGCUGGAGACACUUAGAAGCUAUGGCCUUUCACCUGUAAGAGUUUCAAUUUGCUUCAAGGAAUGAAGUAACAGCUGUGAAAGUUCUUUGUGAACCAUGAAGCAAUCCUGAUGUGUUGAUUUUUUUUUUCUCACUUCUUUCGUUAUUGGGUUAAGGACAGGAAUUGAGACAGGGUCUCUCUUUGUUGCCUAGGCUGGAGUGCAGUGGAACGAACUUGGCUUAUUGAAGCAUUGACCACCUGGACCCAAGUGAUUCUCCUACCUUAGCCUCUUGAAUAGCUGUGACAACAGGUGUGCACUACCACACCCAGAUAAAUUUUGUAAUUUUUAUAGAGAGGGCAUUUGACCAUGUUGCCCAGGCUGGUCUCAAACUCCUGAGCUCAAGUGAUACUCCUGCCUCGGCCUCCCAAAGUGCUGGGAUUACAGAUGAAGAAAAUGAGGCACUGAGAGAUUACAUAACUUCCCUUGAGUCAUAUUUGCUUGUAAGUGGUAAGGCUGGAUGUUGAACCCAGGACAAAGGGAGCCCAGUGGAGGAUCCCUGGAGGAGCAAAUAGAAGAAACCCAAAAGGGACUUGAAAGCGGGUCCCCUCCCUCACCUGGAUUCCCAGUCCGAAGAGGAGGAAGCAUCCGCCCUCCUUCCCUCCUUCUGACCCACCCAGCCACCCACCCAAGGUGCCAUUAAAGUUAAUUGU
RNAcentral lists this long non-coding RNA (3826 nucleotides) under Homo sapiens (human). RNAcentral describes it as "HSALNT0370645". Lineage: Eukaryota; Metazoa; Chordata; Mammalia; Primates; Hominidae. The record is from RNAcentral.